AAUGGCGGCGUGCUUACAAUGCAAGUCGAACGGGGAGUUAGCAAUAACUCCUAGUGGCGAACGGGCGAGUAACGCGUAGACAACCUACCUUCUAGAUGGGGACAACACUGCGAAAGUGGUGCUAAUACCGAAUGUUGUGAAGGGGAGGCAUUUCUCCUUCACCAAAGAUGGCCUCUAUUUAUAAGCUAUCGCUAGAAGACGGGUCUGCGUCUGAUUAGCUAGUAGGCGGGGUAACGGCCCACCUAGGCGACGAUCAGUAGCCGGUCUGAGAGGAUGAACGGCCACACUGGGACUGAGACACGGCCCAGACUCCUGCGGGAGGCAGCAGUGGGGAAUCUUCCGCAAUGGACGAAAGUCUGACGGAGCAACGCCGCGUGAGUGAUGAAGGCCUUCGGGUUGUAAAGCUCUGUUAUCAGGGAAGAACACUUUCUAUGUGAAUAAUGUAGGGAGAUGACGGUACCUGAGGAGGAAGCCACGGCUAACUACGUGCCAGCAGCCGCGGUAAUACGUAGGUGGCGAGCGUUGUCCGGAAUUAUUGGGCGUAAAGCGCGCGUAAGUGGGAUAGUAAGUCUCAUUUAAAAGAUCGGGGCUCAACCCCGUUAAGGGUGAGAAACUGCUAUUCUUGAGUGCAGGAGAGGAAAGCGGAAUUCCCAGUGUAGCGGUGAAAUGCGUAGAUAUUGGGAGGAACACCAGUGGCGAAAGCGGCUUUCUGGACUGUGUCUGACACUGAGGCGCGAAAGCUAGGGGAGCGAACGGGAU
RNAcentral lists this ribosomal RNA (759 nucleotides) under uncultured bacterium. Its description in RNAcentral is "bacterial SSU rRNA". It matches the Rfam family "Bacterial small subunit ribosomal RNA", at positions 35 to 778 of the family's 1533-position model. The record is from RNAcentral.